This 449-nucleotide ribosomal RNA is filed under the name uncultured bacterium. Its description in RNAcentral is "partial 16S ribosomal RNA". It matches the Rfam family "Bacterial small subunit ribosomal RNA", at positions 29 to 523 of the family's 1533-position model. The record is from RNAcentral.
AACGAACGCUGGCGGCAUGCCUAACACAUGCAAGUCGAACGAGAUCUUCGGGUCUAGUGGCGCACGGGUGCGUAACGCGUGGGAAUCUGCCCUUUGGUUCGGAAUAACAGUUGGAAACGACUGCUACUACCGGAUGAUGACGAAGGUCCAAAGAUUUAUCGCUAGAGGAUCAGCCCGCGUAGGAUUAGCUAGUUGGUGUGGUAAAGGCGAACAAAGGCGACGAUCCUUAGCUGGUCUGUGAAGUUGAUCAGCCAAACUGGGAAUGAGACACGGCCCAGACUCGUACGGGAGGCAGCAGUGGGGAAUAUUGGACAAUGGGCGAAAGCCUGAUCCAGCAAUGCCGCGUGAGUGAUGAAGGCCUUAGGGUUGUAAAGCUCUUUUACCCGGGAUGAUAAUGACAGUACCGGGAGAAUAAGCUCCGGCUAACUCCGUGCCAGCCGCCGCCGUAA